UACAGAGACCUCAAGCGUUGUCCGGAUUUAUUGGGCGUAAAGAGUGCGUAGGUGGUUAGUUAAGUCAAUGGUCAAAUCUUGGGGCUCAACCCCAAAACCGCCAUUGAAACUGGCUGACUAGAGGCUGGAAGAGGCAAACGGAAUUGCUGGUGUAGGGGUAAAAUCCGUUGAUAUCAGCAGGAACACCAAAUGCGAAAGCAGUUUGCUGGGACAGUUCUGACACUGUUGCACGAAAGCGUGGGGAUCAAAGAGG
This 253-nucleotide unclassified non-coding RNA is filed under the name Patescibacteria group bacterium. RNAcentral describes it as "contains 16S-23S intergenic spacer region". It matches the Rfam family "Bacterial small subunit ribosomal RNA", at positions 524 to 776 of the family's 1533-position model. The record is from RNAcentral.